AUUAAGGUGGCAGAGCCCGGUAAUUGCAAAAGGCCUAAGCCCUUUCUACAGGGGUUCAAAUCCUCUCCUUAACU
RNAcentral lists this transfer RNA (74 nucleotides) under Pleurogrammus azonus (Okhostk atka mackerel). RNAcentral's name for it is "tRNA-Leu". It matches the Rfam family "tRNA". Rfam says of the family: Transfer RNA (tRNA) molecules are approximately 80 nucleotides in length. Their secondary structure includes four short double-helical elements and three loops (D, anti-codon, and T loops). The record is from RNAcentral. Lineage: Eukaryota; Metazoa; Chordata; Actinopteri; Perciformes; Hexagrammidae.